This 497-nucleotide ribosomal RNA is filed under the name uncultured bacterium. Its description in RNAcentral is "partial 16S ribosomal RNA". It matches the Rfam family "Bacterial small subunit ribosomal RNA", at positions 28 to 507 of the family's 1533-position model. The record is from RNAcentral.
GAUGAACGCUGGCGGCGUGCCUAAUACAUGCAAGUCGAGCGAACGGACGAGAAGCUUGCUUCUCUGAUGUUAGCGGCGGACGGGUGAGUAACACGUGGAUAACCUACCUAUAAGACUGGGAUAACCUCGGGAAACCGGAGCUAAUACCGGAUAAUAUUUUGAACCGCAUGGUUGAAAAGUGAAAGACGGUCUUGCUGUCACUUAUAGAUGGAUCCGCGCUGGAUUAGCUAGUUGGUAAGGUAACGGCUUACCAAGGCAACGAUGCAUAGCCGACCUGAGAGGGUGAUAGCCCACACUGGAACUGAGACACGGUCCAGACUCCUAAGGGAGGCAGCAGUAGGGAAUCUUCCGCAAUGGGCGAAAGCCUGACGGAGCAACGCCGCGUGAGUGAUGAAGGUCUUCGGAUCGGAAAACUCUGUUAUUAGGGAAGAACAUAUGUGUAAGUAACUGUGCACAUCUUGACGGUACCUAAUCAGAAAGCCACGGCUAACUACGUG